Molecule: ribosomal RNA, 497 nt
Filed under: uncultured bacterium
Lineage: Bacteria
Description: partial 16S ribosomal RNA
Rfam family: Bacterial small subunit ribosomal RNA
Source: RNAcentral
GACGAACGCUGGCGGCGUGCCUAAUACAUGCAAGUUGAGCGCUGAAGGUUGGUACUUGUACCAACUGGAUGAGCAGCGAACGGGUGAGUAACGCGUGGGGAAUCUGCCUUUGAGCGGGGGACAACAUUUGGAAACGAAUGCUAAUACCGCAUAAAAACUUUAAACACAAGUUUUAAGUUUGAAAGAUGCAAUUGCAUCACUCAAAGAUGAUCCCGCGUUGUAUUAGCUAGUUGGUGAGGUAAAGGCUCACCAAGGCGAUGAUACAUAGCCGACCUGGGAGGGGGAUCGGCCACAUUGGGACUGAGACACGGCCCAAACUCCUACGGGAGGCAGCAGUAGGGAAUCUUCGGCAAUGGACGAAAGUCUGACCGAGCAACGCCGCGUGAGUGAAGAAGGGUUUCGGAUCGUAAAACUCUGUUGGUAGAGAAGAACGUUGGUGAGAGUGGAAAGCUCAUCAAGUGACGGUAACUACCCAGAAAGGGACGGCUAACUACGUG